RNAcentral lists this ribosomal RNA (463 nucleotides) under uncultured bacterium. RNAcentral's name for it is "partial 16S ribosomal RNA". It matches the Rfam family "Bacterial small subunit ribosomal RNA", at positions 29 to 507 of the family's 1533-position model. The record is from RNAcentral.
ACGAACGCUGGCGGCGUGCUUAACCCAUGCCAGUCGAACGGAAAGGCCCAGCUUGCUGGGUGCUCGAGUGGCGAACGGGUGAGUAACACGUGGGUGAUCUGCCCCUAACUUCGGGAUAAGCUUGGGAAACUGGGUCUAAUACCGGAUAGGACAAUCGUUUAGUGUCGGUUGUGGAAAGUUUUUUCGGUUAGGGAUGAGCCCGCGGCCUAUCAGCUUGUUGGUGGGGUAAUGGCCUACCAAGGCGUCGACGGGUAGCCGGCCUGAGAGGGUGGACGGCCACAUUGGGACUGAGAUACGGCCCAGACUCCUACGGGAGGCAGCAGUGGGGAAUAUUGCACAAUGGGCGCAAGCCUGAUGCAGCGACGCCGCGUGGGGGAUGACGGCCUUCGGGUUGUAAACCUCUUUCGACAGGGACGAAGCUUUGGUGACGGUACCUGUAUAAGAAGCACCGGCUAACUACGUG